Molecule: ribosomal RNA, 162 nt
Filed under: Casearia ternstroemioides
Lineage: Eukaryota; Viridiplantae; Streptophyta; Magnoliopsida; Malpighiales; Salicaceae
Description: ITS1
Rfam family: 5.8S ribosomal RNA
About the family: 5.8S ribosomal RNA (5.8S rRNA) is a component of the large subunit of the eukaryotic ribosome.
Source: RNAcentral
ACGACUCUCGGCAACGGAUAUCUCGGCUCUCGCAUCGAUGAAGAACGUAGCGAAAUGCGAUACUUGGUGUGAAUUGCAGAAUCCCGUGAACCAUCGAGUCUUUGAACGCAAGUUGCGCCCGAGGCCUACUCGGCCGAGGGCACGUCCGCCUGGGUGUCACGC